This 492-nucleotide ribosomal RNA is filed under the name uncultured bacterium. RNAcentral describes it as "partial 16S ribosomal RNA". It matches the Rfam family "Bacterial small subunit ribosomal RNA", at positions 29 to 507 of the family's 1533-position model. The record is from RNAcentral.
AGUGAACGCUGGCGGUAGGCCUAACACAUGCAAGUCGAACGGCAGCACAGUAAGAGCUUGCUCUUACGGGUGGCGAGUGGCGGACGGGUGAGGAAUACAUCGGAAUCUACUUUUUCGUGGGGGAUAACGUAGGGAAACUUACGCUAAUACCGCAUACUACCUACGGGUGAAAGCAGGGGAUCUUCGGACCUUUCGCGAUUGAAUGAGCCGAUGUCGGAUUAGCUAGUUGGCGGGGUAAAGGCCCACCAAGGCGACGAUCCGUAGCUGGUCUGAGAGGAUGAUCAGCCACACUGGAACUGAGACACGGUCCAGACUCCUACGGGAGGCAGCAGUGGGGAAUAUUGGACAAUGGGCGCAAGCCUGAUCCAGCCAUACCGCGUGGGUGAAGAAGGCCUUCGGGUUGUAAAGCCCUUUUGUUGGGAAAGAAAAGCAGCAGGUUAAUACCCCGCUGUUCUGACGGUACCCAAAGAAUAAGCACCGGCUAACUUCGUG